RNAcentral lists this transfer RNA (79 nucleotides) under Actinomycetota bacterium. Its description in RNAcentral is "tRNA-Ala". Lineage: Bacteria; Bacillati; Actinomycetota. The record is from RNAcentral.
GGACACGGUAGUACGGGCUAGAACGUGCUUCUUCGCCUUCGCAUGGCGGAGGUCACGAGUUCGAGUCUCGUCGGGUCCA